This 203-nucleotide long non-coding RNA is filed under the name Ananas comosus (pineapple). RNAcentral's name for it is "long non-coding RNA (ACOM_LNC034398)". The record is from RNAcentral. Lineage: Eukaryota; Viridiplantae; Streptophyta; Magnoliopsida; Poales; Bromeliaceae.
CCGGAAUGAAAUCUCAAUCCAAGCUAGAAGACCGGAAUCAAGUUGAAGGCUAAUGGGUCAUUCCCAUUCCAGUCCGGAAUAGGAAUUCCAAACGGAUUCAUGCGAACCAAACAAAAUUAACCGGAUUUGAUCAAACCGAUUCCCAUUCCAUACCCAAAAUGGAUGAACCAAACAAGCCCUUAUAGUUUUCUAAACCAAACAGU